Molecule: ribosomal RNA, 465 nt
Filed under: uncultured bacterium
Lineage: Bacteria
Description: partial 16S ribosomal RNA
Rfam family: Bacterial small subunit ribosomal RNA
Source: RNAcentral
GACGAACGCUGGCGGCGUGCUUAACACAUGCAAGUCGAACGGAAAGGCCCUGCUUGCUGGGUACUCGAGUGGCGAACGGGUGAGUAACACGUGGGUGUUCUGCCCUGCACUUCGGGUUAAGCCUGGGAAACUGGGUCUAUUCCCGGAUAGUAGCCAUUUUGAGUGUGAUGGUUGGUAAGUUUUUUCGGUGUAGGAUGAGCUGGCGGCCUAUCAGCUUGUUGGUGGGGUAAUGGCCUACCAAGGCGGCGACGGGUAGCCGGCCUGAGAGGGUGGACGGCCACAGUGGGACUUAGAGACGGCCGAGGCGGCGAAGGGAGGAAGCAGUGGGGAAGAUUGAACAAUGGGCGCAAGCCUGGUGCAGAGAGGCCGCGUGGGGGAUGACGGCCUUAGGGUUGAAAACUGCUUGCGCGAGGGACGAAGCUUUUUGUGACGGUACCUAGAUAAGAAGCACCGGCUAACUACGUG